Long non-coding RNA from Coregonus clupeaformis (lake whitefish), 425 nucleotides. RefSeq lists it as uncharacterized. The record is from RefSeq and is a predicted model, not a curated record. The transcript has 3 exons. NCBI's taxonomy places the organism in Eukaryota, Metazoa, Chordata, Actinopteri, Salmoniformes, Salmonidae.
CAGGCUGGUCAGUACAAGUGUGUUGGGACAAGGAGAGGUCGGCCCCAGAAGUCACAUCUCAGCUCAGCUCUCCCCAUCAUCAUCACUGCUCUUCCCAAAGCUACACUGACUGUGAAGCCAAACCCUGCAUACACUGGAGAGAAAGUGACUCUGACGUGUUCAACAGAGUCUCACAGUGACUGGAGCUAUCAGUGGUUCAAAGACAGGAAUGAUAAUGUAGUAUCCCAGUCUGUCAGACACACUGUAACAGGGGACACCCUCAUCAUCAGUAGAGCUGGUGUGUCUGACCAGGGUCUCUACUGGUGUGAAGGGAACAGAGUGUCUAGACCCACAUCUUCACUAACAAGUGAUCCUGUCACUCUCACUGUUAAAGAUAGUCGUCCGACGGCUACACUGAGUUUAGACCAAGCGAACGUAUUCACAGG